GAUGAACGCUGGCGGCGCGCUUAACACAUGCAAGUCGAACGAAACACUUUAUUUGAGUUCCUUCGGGACUGAGUAUUUUGUGAGAGAGUGGCGUGACGGAUGAUGCCUCGCGUGGGGAAACUGCCUUGGACAGGGAGAGAUCAUAUGGAAUCGGCUGCUAGUACCGCAUCAACCCAAGGGAUCACGAGAUGUCCUGUGAGAAACUCCCGCGGUAUAAAAUGGACGCGCGGUGGAUUAUCGUACUGGUGAGGUAACGGCCCACCAAGGCGACGAUCCAUAGCCGACCUGAGAGGGUGACCGGCCACAUUGGGACUGAGACACGGCCCAGACUCCUACGGGAGGCAGCAGUGGGGAAUAUUGCACAAUGGGCGAAAGCCUGAUGCAGCGACGCCGCGUGAACGAAGAAGUUUUUCGGUAUGUAAAGUUCUAUCAGCAGGGAAGACAAUGACGGUACUUGACUAAGAAGCGCCGGCUAAAUACGUGCCAGCAGCCGCGGUAAUACGUAUGUCGCAAGCGUUAUCCGGAUUUACUGGGUGUAAAGGGAGCGCAGGCGGUACGGCAAGUCUGAUGUGAAAUCCCGGGGCUCAACCCCUGUACUGCAUUGGAAACUGUCGUUCUAGAGUGUCGGAGGGGUAAGCGGAAUUCCUAGUGUAGCGGUGAAAUGCGUAGAUAUUAGGAGGAACACCAGUGGCGAAGGCGGCUUACUGGACGCUAACUGACGCUGAGGCUCGAAAGUGUGGGGAGCAAACAGGAUUAGAUACCCUGGUAGUCCACGCCGUAAACGAUGA
This 788-nucleotide ribosomal RNA is filed under the name uncultured bacterium. RNAcentral's name for it is "bacterial SSU rRNA". It matches the Rfam family "Bacterial small subunit ribosomal RNA", at positions 28 to 812 of the family's 1533-position model. The record is from RNAcentral.